GUUUGGGAAAUGCCUUUAGCCAUUUCCAACAGGUGACUAUCAACCUUUUGAUGAAACUCUUGAUAUUAUGACGUGCUGGAAUUGGUUCCCAGCAUUGUUGAAUAGAUGAAUGCAAGGAUUUGGCACCAUCUACCAGCUAUUAUCCACAGGCAGUUGAGCUUUAUAUCCCUUUUGGUUCCUUGUGCCUUGGAAUCUUGGGGGAGGAGUGGGGGUCACUUAUCAGGUUUUGCUGGGCCCAAAAAGCUCAAUCUUUGCCUGGUGCCAUCUCUAGAAGGAAAGGGAGAACUUGGAAAUCAGAUAAUCUGAUGCAAACAAGACAGGGAACUCACUACUUCUUAUACAACCCAGAACAUUGAGGGAAAUGUCAUUUUUAGAAAAUUCUGAGAUUGUUCAAGUUGAGAUCAUGCCAUGUACCUUCACUAUUCCUCGGUUGGUUCUAGAGCCAGCCUUGGUUUCCCUGGACUUUUACCUCCCCAGUGACAGUGACCAGGUGGGAGGACCAGCCGCUGAACACCAGGAUUGUACCCGGCGUCCAGGAUAAUGUUGACUGAAGUACGGAUCCAUUAGCCCAAGCCAGGACCACAGUGAUGGAGCUUCCCGAGGCUUUUCCUGUUCCACCCACACUGCUGGGAAGAUGAAGAGAGGACCUGAGGGACAAUACUGAGUUGUUUUUUCAGAGACAAUAGAACAAAACUGCAAGUCAGGCGGCAGAGGAAAAAAAUGUUGCAAAUUACUCAUCGAACCAGAUUUCCACCUUUGCCCAUUCCUCUACCUCUCAUCCCCUAUCUCCAUCCACCAUCCCCCGCCCAUGGAGCCAAAGGACCGGACAUGAUCAGGACCUGAAUACCAGAACACUUUCAGAGGCCACUGUCCAGGCAGUCCCCGUGCCGACCCCUCAAGCCCAUGCCCCAAAACCUGGAUCGGGGAGACUGAACUCCUUGCUCAUGGACUUCACAAUAAAGCUUUUUUCUUUUCUCAAAA
Molecule: long non-coding RNA, 981 nt
Organism: Myotis lucifugus (little brown bat)
Lineage: Eukaryota; Metazoa; Chordata; Mammalia; Chiroptera; Vespertilionidae
Exons: 2
Source: RefSeq, a predicted model, not a curated record